GGUGAAGAACGCAGCGAAAUGCGAUACUUGGUGUGAAUUGCAGAAUCCCGUGAACCAUCGAGUCUUUGAACGCAAGUUGCGCCUCAAGCCAUUAGGUUGAGGGCACGUCUGCCUGGGCGUCACAUAUCGUUGCCUGAUGCCAGUUUCCUCGUGAUGGGUGACUGUGCAGGGCGAAUGAUGGCUUCCCGUGAGCAUUGUUGCCUCAUGGUUGGUUGAAAAUUGAGUCCUUGGUAGGGAGCGCCGUGAUAGAUGGUGGUUGAGUGACGAACGAGACCCAAUCAUGUGAGACCCCUACCGAAUUUGGCCUUCAUGACCCACAUGCGUCUUUGGAACGCUCAUGACGAGACCUCAGGUCAGGCGGGGCUACCCGCUGAGUUUAAGCAUAUCAAUAAGCGGAGGA
This 400-nucleotide unclassified non-coding RNA is filed under the name soil metagenome. Its description in RNAcentral is "partial contains 5.8S ribosomal RNA, internal transcribed spacer 2, and large subunit ribosomal RNA". The stretch from base 3 to 122 matches the Rfam family "5.8S ribosomal RNA", at positions 37 to 154 of the family's 154-position model. The record is from RNAcentral.